This is a long non-coding RNA of Manis pentadactyla (Chinese pangolin), 500 nucleotides long. RefSeq lists it as uncharacterized. The record is from RefSeq and is a predicted model, not a curated record. The transcript has 3 exons. Lineage: Eukaryota; Metazoa; Chordata; Mammalia; Pholidota; Manidae.
CAGAAACACCCAAAUAUAGGAGAAGGACUUUGAUCAAAUCCUGUUACUUCUGUUUCAGUUUGUACAAAUAAAAGGGAAACAGAUCUUUGCCAACUGGUGAUGCUCUCCAGGAAAGAGGCAUUUGAACUAAGGAAUACCCAGAGCAUCUAUUGUGCGGCAAGAGAUUGUAAAUUCCAGCUACGGAAAACAAUGCAGCAAGGAAAGACUCAAACCUCUCAAGUUCCCACCUGGAGGUCCUUUCAAGUACAAUUACCCUCUGAACAAUUGGGCGCCAAGCUGGACAAGGAUAUCUGGCUAGAAGAAUUUUUGUGGAAGUGAGGGGAAAAAUUCCUGUUAUCUUUGUUAGCCAUGUUAACUCCAAAGCCAUUCAAUGUGACUAUUGACACUUAUCCUGGGUGUUAACAUUCAAGGCUUUCUGUUUUAUAAAGCCACCCUUGCCACAGGGUUAAGAACAAACCACGCUCUUGCUUUCGCGAUAUUCAUUUUGGCAGUCCAGGGCA